Molecule: non-coding RNA, 228 nt
Organism: Anopheles gambiae (African malaria mosquito)
Lineage: Eukaryota; Metazoa; Arthropoda; Insecta; Diptera; Culicidae
Source: Rfam
GUGAUGGCACGAUAAGUGAACAUUCAUCGUCAAAAACAGUUUAGUUUGCAGAUCUGUCCAGCGGCAUACGUCACAACUCUAAAGGUAGUCUUUCUUCUGUGUCAUCGGUGAUCUCUCGCUGCACGGCAAUGGGCCGUACGCACGAUUGAUGUCAUCUGUGACACGAGAUUCUACCGUCAUACGAAAUUAGUUGAAAUUGUAAUUACAUUGUAAUUAUUGUAAUUAAUU